GCUACGGGUGGCAGCAGUAGGGAAUCUUCCACAAUGGGCGAAAGCCUGAUGGAGCAACGCCGCGUGGGUGAAGAAGGUCUUCGGAUCGUAAAACCCUGUUGUUAGAGAAGAAAGAGCGUGCGAGUAACUGUUCUCGUUUCGACGGUAUCUAACCAGAAAGCCACGGCUCACUACGUGCAAGCAGCCGCGGUAAUAGGUAGGUGGCAAGCGUUAGCCGGAGUGUUUGGGCGUCAAGGGAAAGGCGGCGGUUGUUUAAGUCUGAUGUGAAAACCUUCGGCUGAACCGUGGUAGUGAAUUGGAAAAUGGGAGAAUUGAGUGCAGAAGAGGAGAGUGGAACUCGAUGUGUAGCGGUGAAAUGCGUAGAUAUAUGGAAGAACACCAGUGGCGAAAGCGGCUCUCUGGUCUGUAACUGACGCUGAGGUUCGAAAGCGUGGGUAGCAAACAGGAUUAGAGACCCCAGUAGUC
This 465-nucleotide ribosomal RNA is filed under the name uncultured bacterium. RNAcentral's name for it is "partial 16S ribosomal RNA". It matches the Rfam family "Bacterial small subunit ribosomal RNA", at positions 338 to 795 of the family's 1533-position model. The record is from RNAcentral.